Molecule: non-coding RNA, 54 nt
Organism: Salmo salar (Atlantic salmon)
Lineage: Eukaryota; Metazoa; Chordata; Actinopteri; Salmoniformes; Salmonidae
Source: Rfam
UACCGCUUGCCGUGUAAGUUGCUCUGGAUAAGAGCAUCUGCUAAAUGACGUAAA